AUGAACGCUGGCGGCGUGCCUAAUACAUGCAAGUCGAGCGAACGGCCGAGAAACUUCCUUUUCUGAUGUUAGCGGCGGACGGGUGAGUAACACGUGGAUAACCUACCUAUAAGACUGGGAUAACUUAGGGAAACCGGAUCUAAUACCGGAUAAUAUUUUGCACCGCAUGGUUCAAAAGUGAAAGACGGUCUUGCUGUCACUUAUAGAUGGAUCUGCGCUUCAUUAGCUAGUUGGUAAGGUAACGGCUUACCAAGGCAACGAUGCAUAGCCGACCUGAGAGGGUGAUCGGCCACACUGGAACUGAGACACGGUCCAGACUCCUACGGGAGGCAGCAGUGGGGAAUAUUGGACAAAGGGCGAAAGCCUGACGGAGCAACGCCGCGUGAGUGAUGAAGGUCUUCGGAUCGUAAAACUCUGUUAUUAGGAAAGAACAUAUGUAUAAGUAACUGUGGACAUCUUGACGGUACCUAAUCAGAAAGCCCCGGCUAACUACGUG
RNAcentral lists this ribosomal RNA (496 nucleotides) under uncultured bacterium. Its description in RNAcentral is "partial 16S ribosomal RNA". It matches the Rfam family "Bacterial small subunit ribosomal RNA", at positions 29 to 507 of the family's 1533-position model. The record is from RNAcentral.